Hypanus sabinus (Atlantic stingray) is the source of this 977-nucleotide long non-coding RNA. RefSeq lists it as uncharacterized. Lineage: Eukaryota; Metazoa; Chordata; Chondrichthyes; Myliobatiformes; Dasyatidae. The transcript has 2 exons. The record is from RefSeq and is a predicted model, not a curated record.
CGGACCCGUCAGGUGUCGCAGCGCCACACGUCCGAGCAGACGAGAGGAGAUUCGGCUCCGCCGUUCCCAUUCCCUCGCAGCUGAGAACAACUACCGCCGAAAUAUUACUACCUCGGUACGCACCAGAAACUGUUGGAGCCUGUGGCAUACUGUUUGGAACUCAAUUGAAGGAUCCCGUGUUAUGCUGUGUCCGGAGAGCUGCCUUGUGGAGAUCAGAGACUGCUGCUGCUGGUGGUGGGGGGUGCCGAGAAGGUCCGGGAGUACAAACUGACUCAUGGAAAAGACCAGAGAUGAGGCAUGGGGUCAUGAACAAUUCCACCUCGAAGCAGCGAGAAAGAUUGAAGUAUCAAGGUGAAUGUGGGGGGGGGGGGGGGGACAGCGAUGGCCCCCAACGGAGACCGUCAGCAGCAGGAUCUGGGUCGGUAUUGUCCAGCCCCAAAUCGGCGACAGUAGGACUUGGGUCAGCACGCUCGACAGUGCUGGAACCCGGGUCAACGGUCAUUCUUUACAAAAGGACUGAAUUUGUGUGACUUCUCCUCACAUGCAGGCAAAAAGGCAUUUGCCAUAUUUUGAGAUUGAUGUGAUUAUUGUACUGUACUUUAUGUUGGCUUCCUUCAUUUUUCUGGUGUUUUCUGUCUUGUGGAUGAUUGGCAGGUGGGUGAUCUGUUAACUUUUGUGUGGGGGGGGGGUGUUGGAGGGGUUGGUGCCAUUGUUGCUGGUCUUUCCUACGAGUGAAGGGUUGGGGAUUGUUAUGUGUAGGAGUUGAUUAUUGUGGCUGCUUUUUGCCAGGGGAAGGGAAGGGAUUUUGGUGUCUGCAAGUUUUGCUUCUUUUCUCUUUCGUGCGGGGAGGGUGGAGUUGAUGUCUUUUCUUUCAACACCCAUGGUAUUUCUGUAUUUAGUGCCUAUCUGGGGUAGACAAAUAUCAGAGUUGUAUUUUACCUGCAAACUUUGACAAUAAAAUUAACCCAUGUCUGGUU